ACAGACGAUAUUUCUGCAUAAUCAAGAAAAAAUUUCUUACAAAUUAUCCUGCAAAAAUGGAGAUUGAAGAAAGAAUAGCUUGUGAUACUAAAGAAAAUUCAAAUGGUUGUGGAAUAACCAAAUCUAAGAUGCACUAGUCUGAGGGAUACAUAAGGUAACGCGUAUUUUUUUUGUAUGUUCAUGGUUUUAUUCCCCCCCGCCCCUUUUCAUAUUCCUCUCAAAUAAUGUAAUUUCUGAUAAGUGCGAAAGUUAGCUGUUUUAACUUUUACACGAUAUGAAUGGGGGCAUGGGGUUUGUCGGUUUUUAAGCAGUCAAUGAUUCAAUAGUGUUCGACUUCUGGAUUAUUAUGGACUAAUAUGGAUGCUGCAUCCUCCUUUAUUGGUAUGGAUUGCCAUCUUCUAUCCCUCCCCUGACCUUAUUAUAGUUCUUGUGAGCGAAAUAUACUGAUGACGACGACGACGACGAUGAUGAAAGCUCAUUAGACGAUACAAUAGACGAUAAACUCGGUGCUAAGACAAAGGUAAGGGCAUUGUGCAUCGAAUGACUACUUACCAUGCCUAGGGUGGUAGCCUUUUUAAAGGAAUUGGGGUAAAGUUGAUGUUGAAGUAUGUGUAAAUGAUGCAUGGACUUCAGCAGAAAAAAGCAAGCAGUGAUUUAGAGUUAUACUGACCUGCAAAUGGCUUGCAACAUUCUCUCUUGUGAGCCGUGGCACAUUCAUCAGGUCCAAUAUCUUUUUCGGACGAAUCUCUGCAAAACGGACAGCUCGAGGAUUAGACGACAGACAGCAUCUCAAGAAUCGAAAAUGAACAGAACACAGUCGAUAUCUCUCACUUCGUGCAUUCGUUUCCUCACCACAUGCUGCCAUAUAUUCUUGAGUUCUUUCAUACGUAUCGGUUUGAGUAGAUAGUCACAAGCCCCAUGUUGAACACCUUUCAUCACUCGGCUCGUUUCUCCAUCCACCGACAUCACUGCACAAGUUCGCAGGAAGAUCCAUUUCUAGUCCAACAUGCUCAAGAAGCUUAAAUCCAUCCAUGUCCGGCAUGUUGACAUCGCUUAUGACAAUGUCGUAACCAUCCUUUCUGUCACGAAGCAACUUCAAUGCUUCGCUAGCCAGUCCACA
Molecule: long non-coding RNA, 1120 nt
Organism: Amaranthus tricolor (Joseph's coat)
Lineage: Eukaryota; Viridiplantae; Streptophyta; Magnoliopsida; Caryophyllales; Amaranthaceae
Exons: 3
Source: RefSeq, a predicted model, not a curated record